AAUUGUUAUUUACAGGUAAGGUUAAUUCUGUUACUGWAAGUGAGUUAAUGUGAAUUGGUCUUUUUGCCUUUUUUUAGGAUCAUGAUGUACUGAUGAAACUCAAUGAUAAUUGGAGGAAAGUUCAGAAGCUUUUCCCUUUUCAGCCUAAUGGUAUCUCCAACACAAACAGAAACGGAGGAUUUCUGCAGAACCAUUAUGAAGGUUGCUCUGGWCAGCCUCUCUGCGUGUCAAAACCUCAGCCUCAAUCCUCCAGGCGGGUGUCGUUCCCCUCCUUAGUCUGUCUGCAGUCCCUGACUUUUUCAUUUCAGGUUCCUGUCACCUGCUUUUCACUCUUCUGCCUCAGAGGACAUCACACAGCUGURCUUACUGAGGAUACCAGCUCUCUCAAGAAACAGUCUUUGCAGGCUUUCUAAAUCCAUGGGAGAUUGUAGUGGCUUGGAURAACMRUUACAGAUCUGUUUUYCCUGUACUCCCUUCCUUCACMCCCCGUUUUCAAAUAAGCACCACUUAGUUUGAGGGCUUUCGGCUCUCUUGUUCUAGUUUAAUGGCUGCGCGUUAGCACCCCGUAGCAUUAGCUGGAGGUAUCAGUCUGAAUCUCACUCUCUCAGAAAGGCAGGGCACAUUUUUUAUAACUCCUUCUAGACUGCAUGUCUGCUUUAUAUCAGAUAUGAUUUAAUAGACUUUUUAAAGCCAGCCUGUCAUCUGUCUUCCCUGAAUGUGAGAAGCAGCACAUUUACAAGUUACACACUUUAGAAAGCCUUUCAUUGUCCCUCAAAGCUCCUACCAACGCGUCGAUUCCAGCAGUCCUCUUUUUAUGGAAACCUUUAAGCCUCUCUCCUUUGUACGGACAGCUUGAAGUUYGUCUGCUGUUUUCUACCUUGCYUCUUAUCGGGUCUAAGAAUGGUGUAUUACACAGGCACCUUCCGCACGGGGGGAUUUCAGAAAUAUAUUGGCCCGCUCCAGAACCCAGCCUUUAUUAAUCAGGGCAGAGCGUGCCYGGUGCCGUUCCAGACGGGCUCCUUCCCUCUGCCGUCCGUCCCCAGCUGCAGUGCUCGCAGAGCUCUUCGGAUGCUGCAGUUUUUCCUUUUGUUAUUCCAUAUCCUACAGCAGCAGUGGAGUCCAUCAGCCUCAAUCGGUGCUGACACUACGAAACACAAAAGCACCACAUCAAAAUAGGAAUAUUUGAGGGCAAGGUUGCUUUAUGAAUACACAAAUAAUAAACUCCAGCUGUGUCCUGCCA
RNAcentral lists this long non-coding RNA (1240 nucleotides) under Dromaius novaehollandiae (emu). Its description in RNAcentral is "lncRNA (ENSDNVG00000013931.1)". Lineage: Eukaryota; Metazoa; Chordata; Aves; Casuariiformes; Dromaiidae. The record is from RNAcentral.